GCCGGGGUGGCUGAGUGGACAAAAGCGGCAGGCUCGAGACCUGUUGCUCCAUCUGGAGCGCUUGGGUUCGAAUCCCAACCCCGGCG
Molecule: transfer RNA, 86 nt
Filed under: Methermicoccus shengliensis
Lineage: Archaea; Methanobacteriati; Methanobacteriota; Methanomicrobia; Methanosarcinales; Methermicoccaceae
Description: tRNA-Ser
Rfam family: tRNA
About the family: Transfer RNA (tRNA) molecules are approximately 80 nucleotides in length. Their secondary structure includes four short double-helical elements and three loops (D, anti-codon, and T loops). Further hydrogen bonds mediate the characteristic L-shaped molecular structure. tRNAs have two regions of fundamental functional importance: the anti-codon, which is responsible for specific mRNA codon recognition, and the 3' end, to which the tRNAs corresponding amino acid is attached (by aminoacyl-tRNA synthetases). tRNAs cope with the degeneracy of the genetic code in two manners: having more than one tRNA (with a specific anti-codon) for a particular amino acid; and 'wobble' base-pairing, i.e. permitting non-standard base-pairing at the 3rd anti-codon position.
Source: RNAcentral